Cricetulus griseus (Chinese hamster) is the source of this 322-nucleotide unclassified non-coding RNA. Its record names the gene 7SK. It matches the Rfam family "7SK RNA". Rfam says of the family: 7SK was discovered as an abundant small nuclear RNA in the mid-70s but a possible function has only recently been suggested. Two independent studies have found that 7SK RNA binds the CDK9/cyclin T complex (known as elongation factor P-TEFb). P-TEFb activates transcription by phosphorylating the C-terminal domain of RNA polymerase II. NCBI's taxonomy places the organism in Eukaryota, Metazoa, Chordata, Mammalia, Rodentia, Cricetidae. The record is from Ensembl.
GGAACUAAAUUUUGGAUGUGACAUCUUUCACCCAACUGAUCACCGUGGUUGAUUGGUCCAAAUCUGACUGGCAAGGCAGGUGUCCACAUCCUCCCUUUCACCUCUCCAUGUACAUCCUUCCCUAAGUGACAUGCUCAAUUAAAGAGGAUGGGUUUCCCUGAUAGAGGAGGGCCCAUCUUUGGCAGGGUCAAGGAUGUAUAAGCAGCUGCAUGGUCCUGGUGGAGCCCCCAAACAGACUCUCAAGGAGAUAACCUUUCUCAGCACAGACCUGUGGCCCCAUGAAAAGCACUGCCUUCAAAGGUGGUAUCUUCAGACUGCUCUU